AAACCAACAGGGAUUGCCCUAGUAACGGCGAGUGAAGCGGCAACAGCUCAAAUUUGAAAUCUGGCCUCGGCCCGAGUUGUAAUUUGCAGAGGAAGCUUUAGGCGCGGCACCUUCUGAGUCCCCUGGAACGGGGCGCCAUAGAGGGUGAGAGCCCCGUAUAGUUGGAUGCCUAGCCUGUGUAAAGCUCCUUCGACGAGUCGAGUAGUUUGGGAAUGCUGCUCAAAAUGGGAGGUAAAUUUCUUCUAAAGCUAAAUACCGGCCAGAGACCGAUAGCGCACAAGUAGAGUGAUCGAAAGAUGAAAAGCACUUUGAAAAGAGGGUUAAACAGCACGUGAAAUUGUUGAAAGGGAAGCGCUUGUGACCAGACUUGCGCCAGGCCGAUCAUCCGGUGUUCUCACCGGUGCACUCGGCCCGGCACAGGCCAGCAUCGGUUCUCGCGGGGGGAUAAAGGUCCCGGGAACGUAGCUCCUCCGGGAGUGUUAUAGCCCGGGGCGUAAUGCCCUCGCGGGGACCGAGGUUCGCGCAUCUGCAAGGAUGCUGGCGUAAUGGUCAUCAGCGAC
This 560-nucleotide ribosomal RNA is filed under the name Dichotomopilus indicus. RNAcentral describes it as "eukaryotic LSU rRNA". It matches the Rfam family "Eukaryotic large subunit ribosomal RNA", at positions 62 to 648 of the family's 3401-position model. RNAcentral also lists the same sequence under 1 other name. Lineage: Eukaryota; Fungi; Ascomycota; Sordariomycetes; Sordariales; Chaetomiaceae. The record is from RNAcentral.